GGGGGGGGGGGGGGGGGGGCCGGGGAGGGGCGGGGCGAGCGAACAGACGGGGAGCUUGCUCCUCUGACGUUAGCGGCGGACGGGGGAGUAACACGUGGAUAACCUACCUAUAAGACUGGGAUAACUUCGGGAAACCGGAGCUAAUACCGGAUAAUAUAUUGAACCGCAUGGUUCAAUAGUGAAAGACGGUUUUGCUGUCACUUAUAGAUGGAUCCGCGCCGCAUUAGCUAGUUGGUAAGGUAACGGCUUACCAAGGCAACGAUGCGUAGCCGACCUGAGAGGGUGAUCGGCCACACUGGAACUGAGACACGGUCCAGACUCCUACGGGAGGCAGCAGUAGGGAAUCUUCCGCAAUGGGCGAAAGCCUGACGGAGCAACGCCGCGUGAGUGAUGAAGGUCUUCGGAUCGUAAAACUCUGUUAUUAGGGAAGAACAAAUGUGUAAGUAACUAUGCACGUCUUGACGGUACCUAAUCAGAAAGCCACGGCUAACUACGUG
RNAcentral lists this ribosomal RNA (497 nucleotides) under uncultured bacterium. Its description in RNAcentral is "partial 16S ribosomal RNA". It matches the Rfam family "Bacterial small subunit ribosomal RNA", at positions 38 to 507 of the family's 1533-position model. The record is from RNAcentral.